UGUGGUACAGCUCAGGGGCAGAGCACCUGCCUGGCAUGCAAAGGCCCUGGGUUUGAUCCCCAGCACCAUAG
RNAcentral lists this transfer RNA (71 nucleotides) under Marmota monax (woodchuck). It matches the Rfam family "tRNA". Rfam says of the family: Transfer RNA (tRNA) molecules are approximately 80 nucleotides in length. Lineage: Eukaryota; Metazoa; Chordata; Mammalia; Rodentia; Sciuridae. RNAcentral also lists the same sequence under 1 other name. The record is from Rfam by way of RNAcentral.